CAUGUUGAGUUUCCCAGCUUCUGGGAAAUUCGGGAUAAGUUGGGCCACUGUGAUCUUCCAACCCAGGUUGGGUCGGAGCCAUUAGCAAGCAGAGAGAUGUCUGAAUGGGCCAUGGUAGCCUUGUGCCUUGGCCAGCUGGCACCCAGGAGGGUUUGGAAUGCAAAGCUGGCACUGAGCAGGCCACAGAGAUGGGACUGCUGUCCCUAUUCCUGCACCCAGCCUCCCCUUUCCAUUCCCUUGGCAGAGCAGCACAAAGCCUUUGGUCCCCACACUGCCACCCAGCCCCUUUCACUGUGGCCAAACACACUUUAAAUGAAUCUGAGAGAAAGGUUUGAGACGAGGCCGGGUGGACGCGGGGUGCCCCAAUGGGCACAUCCCAGUUGGGCAGGGAGUGGGGCCACAGCGCUGUGCUCUGACCCUACCGAGGUAACUACAUAAUGAGCCUCUUGGAAUCCCUCCAUCCCUGCCAAAGGGGUGGGAUCGGGGGACGCUUUUGUUUGCCAUAAUGAACCUGUAAUUAUGCUGCUUUUCUUGGUUUUAACCGCAUUUUUUUGCGUGUGCGUCGUUCUCUUUGUAUUGACAGAUUUAUGGCUGGGAUACCCCGGCCGGGCGGCACACGGGGCCAACACACUGCCUGCUCAGAGAGCUGCGGGGCAGCGAUGGGGGCUUCUCAUUGCCCCGGCUCCCAAAGGGUUAAAGAAAGACAUGGGAAUUAAUGCACACGCAGAGGUGCCACCUCUCCAAAAUCCACUGCUUUGGGCACAGUUAAAUAUAUAUGUAUGUGUGUGUGUGUGUAUAUAUAUAUGUAUGUAUGCGUGUAUAUAUAUAUAUAUAUAUAUAUAUAUGUAUAUAUAUUUAGGUCCAGGUGAAUUAAAGAAGAGGAGAGAAAGGAAGGAAAGGAAAAAGUAGGGAACGAUUAAACGGCAUAAAUAAAUAAAUAACACCCACCAGAUUUCAGCUCCCAGGCGCUCAAUAAAAUUACACUUUGAAAUGCAAGGAUUAAGCAGGCAUUGCUGGGGUUUGAGCUGGCUGUGGGUGGAAGGACCGAGCCUGGAAGGAAACCCCGUGUGAAAUCCCCAGCCUGCUUUGCAGAUGUUGGGCUGCUUCUGGGUGAGAUUUUAGCUUUUGCAGAUGUCUGAAACGCUCCCGGUGGGCUUGGUGCCUCGCUGCAGUAAACACAGGCAGGGGGAGCUGGAAGAAGUGGGGAGAGCCGUGAUGUCUUCCAGGAGCUGUCUCAGGAGAGGGACUGGACCAGCCUGAAGGCCGCCAGAGCCAAAGCCCAGCAGCACAGCUUGGGACACAAGCAUCCCACACGGGGGACUAUUUUGAUGGAGCCGGAGAAGUGAUGACACAAAUAGCUGAUGACACAAAUAGUUCUGCUGGCGGAGCAGCAGAGGUGGCAACCUCUGGAUGGGAGCCAUGAGCAGCAGCUGCAGACAGGCACCUCUUCAUGGAGCUGGAACAGGAUGCAUAGCCCAGGGCUCCUGUCACCAUCCCACCAGUAUCACCAGGAAAGCUGUGACCCGGAUGAGCCGUUCAGUCUCCUUCCUGCACAAUAGUUCUGCCUUCUGCCAGCUCUUGCCCUGAAAAGCUGCAGGUUCAUCUGCUCAGCCCGACUCAAACAUGCACCAUCAACAGCUGGGCACCCCUACACUCCUGCAGUGUUAGGUCAGGCCCCACACUCCUGAGGUUCCAGGAGCUAGAAUACCUUUGCUGAGCUCCUGGGUGGAAAAAAAAAAAGGAGGAUUUACCUGAGUCCAGCCCGUCUGCAUGUGGGUCGGAACGUGUGUGUAUCCCAUUAACUCUGUCCUCGCUGCUCUCAAGAUGUCCCGCACAAAUGAUUUUAUUUUUUUUUUCGUAAGAAAAUAUAUUUUACUAGGCAGUUUUAUGAGAGCUGACAAAAUGCCUCAUAAAUAACCCAGCAGGAAAUAUGGGGUAAAUAAAAUUUUUACAACUUUA
This is a long non-coding RNA of Gallus gallus (chicken), 1959 nucleotides long. NCBI's taxonomy places the organism in Eukaryota, Metazoa, Chordata, Aves, Galliformes, Phasianidae. The record is from Ensembl.